RNAcentral lists this ribosomal RNA (478 nucleotides) under uncultured bacterium. RNAcentral's name for it is "partial 16S ribosomal RNA". It matches the Rfam family "Bacterial small subunit ribosomal RNA", at positions 28 to 507 of the family's 1533-position model. The record is from RNAcentral.
GAUGAACGCUGGCGGCGUGCUUAACACAUGCAAGUCGAACGGGAAACCUUUUAUUGAAGCUUCGGCAGAUUUAGCUGGUUUCUAGUGGCGGACGGGUGAUUAACGCGUGGGUAACCUGCCCUAUACAGGGGGAUAACAACCAGAAAUGGUUGCUAAUACCGCAUAAGCGCACAGGGCCGCAUGGUCCGGUGUGAAAAACUCCGGUGGUAUAGGAUGGACCCGCGUUGGAUUAGCCAGUUGGCAGGGUAACGGCCUACCAAAGCGACGAUCCAUAGCCGGCCUGAGAGAGUGAACGGCCACAUUGGGACUGAGACACGGCCCAGACUCCUACGGGAGGCAGCAGUGGGGAAUAUUGCACAAUGGGGGAAACCCUGAUGCAGCGACGCCGCGUGAAGGAAGAAGUAUCUCGGUAUGUAAACUUCUAUCAGCAGGGAAGAUAGUGACGGUACCUGACGAAGAAGCCCCGGCUAACUACGUG